RNAcentral lists this ribosomal RNA (451 nucleotides) under uncultured Corynebacterium sp. RNAcentral describes it as "bacterial SSU rRNA". It matches the Rfam family "Bacterial small subunit ribosomal RNA", at positions 933 to 1382 of the family's 1533-position model. Lineage: Bacteria; Bacillati; Actinomycetota; Actinomycetes; Mycobacteriales; Corynebacteriaceae. The record is from RNAcentral.
CGGAGCAUGUGGAUUAAUUCGAUGCAACGCGAAGAACCUUACCUGGGCUUGACAUACACCAGAUCGGCGCAGAGAUGCGUUUUCCCUUGUGGUUGGUGUACAGGUGGUGCAUGGUUGUCGUCAGCUCGUGUCGUGAGAUGUUGGGUUAAGUCCCGCAACGAGCGCAACCCUUGUCUUAUGUUGCCAGCACGUGAUGGUGGGGACUCAUGAGAGACUGCCGGGGUUAACUCGGAGGAAGGUGGGGAUGACGUCAAAUCAUCAUGCCCCUUAUGUCCAGGGCUUCACACAUGCUACAAUGGUCGGUACAACGCGUGUGCGACACUGUGAGGUGAAGCUAAUCGCUCUAAAGCCGGUCGUAGUUCGGAUUGGGGUCUGCAACUCGACCCCAUGAAGUCGGAGUCGCUAGUAAUCGCAGAUCAGCAACGCUGCGGUGAAUACGUUCCCGGGCCUU